This 406-nucleotide ribosomal RNA is filed under the name uncultured bacterium. RNAcentral's name for it is "bacterial SSU rRNA". It matches the Rfam family "Bacterial small subunit ribosomal RNA", at positions 30 to 433 of the family's 1533-position model. The record is from RNAcentral.
AUUGAACGCUGGCGGCAGGCCUAACACAUGCAAGUCGAACGGUAACAGGAAGAAGCUUGCUUCUUUGCUGACGAGUGGCGGACGGGUGAGUAAUGUCUGGGAAACUGCCUGAUGGAGGGGGAUAACUACUGGAAACGGUAGCUAAUACCGCAUAACGUCGCAAGACCAAAAAGGGGGACCUUCGGGCCUCUUGCCAUCGGAUGUGCCCAGAUGGGAUUAGCUAGUAGGUGGGGUAACGGCUCACGUAGGCGACGAUCCCUAGCUGGUCUGAGAGGAUGACCAGCCACACUGGAACUGAGACACGGUCCAGACUCCUACGGGAGGCAGCAGUGGGGAAUAUUGCACAAUGGGCGCAAGCCUGAUGCAGCCAUGCCGCGUGUAUGAAGAAGGCCUCGGUUGUAAGUAC